UGAAGAUGGGGCAAGAAUUUGUGGAGUC
This 28-nucleotide non-coding RNA is filed under the name Homo sapiens (human). The record is from RNAcentral. Lineage: Eukaryota; Metazoa; Chordata; Mammalia; Primates; Hominidae.